GAUGAACGCUGGCGGCGUGCUUAACACAUGCAAGUCGAACGAAGCACUUUUACAGAUUUCUUCGGGACUGAUUAUUUGUGACUGAGUGGCGGACGGGUGAGUAACGCGUGGGUAACCUGCCCCAGACCGGGGGAUAACAGUCGGAAACGACUGCUAAUACCGCAUAAGCGCACAGUGCCGCAUGGCACAGUGUGAAAAACUCCGGUGGUCUGGGAUGGACCCGCGUCCGAUUAGUUAGUUGGCGGGGUAACGGCCCACCAAGACCGCGAUCGGUAGCCGACCUGAGAGGGUGACCGGCCACAUUGGGACUGAGACACGGCCCAGACUCCUACGGGAGGCAGCAGUGGGGAAUAUUGCACAAUGGAGGAAACUCUGAUGCAGCGACGCCGCGUGAGCGAAGAAGUAUUUCGGUAUGUAAAGCUCUGUCAGCAGGGAAGAUAAUGACGGUACCUGACCAAGAAGCCCCGGCUAACUACGUG
Molecule: ribosomal RNA, 479 nt
Filed under: uncultured bacterium
Lineage: Bacteria
Description: bacterial SSU rRNA
Rfam family: Bacterial small subunit ribosomal RNA
Source: RNAcentral